CCUACGGGUGGCAGCAGUGAGGAAUAUUGGACAAUGGGGGAAACCCUGAUCCAGCGACGCCGCGUGAGUGAAGACGUAUUUCGGUACGUAAAGCUCUAUCAGCAGGAAAGCAAAUGACGGUACCUGACUCAGAAGCUCAGGCUAACUACGAGCCAGCAGCCGCGGUAAUACGUAGGGAGCAAGCGUUAUCCGGAUUUACUGGGUGUAAAGGGAGCGUAGUCGGCAGCACAAGUCUGGAGUGAAAUGCCGAGGCCCAACCCCGGAACUGCCGUGGAAACUGGCAAGCUGGAGUGCAGGAGAGGUAAGCGGAAUGUGUGGUGUAGCGGUGAAAUGCGUAGAUAUCAGGAGGAACACCGGUGGCGAAGGCGGCUUACUGGACUGCAACUGACGUUGAGGCUCGAAGGCGUGGGGAGCAAACAGGAUUAGAUACCCUGGUAGUC
This 440-nucleotide ribosomal RNA is filed under the name uncultured bacterium. RNAcentral describes it as "partial 16S ribosomal RNA". It matches the Rfam family "Bacterial small subunit ribosomal RNA", at positions 338 to 795 of the family's 1533-position model. The record is from RNAcentral.